This is a long non-coding RNA of Gordionus sp. m RMFG-2023, 570 nucleotides long. RefSeq lists it as uncharacterized. NCBI's taxonomy places the organism in Eukaryota, Metazoa, Nematomorpha, Gordioida, Chordodea, Parachordodidae. The record is from RefSeq and is a predicted model, not a curated record. The transcript is spliced from 3 exons.
AUAAUGUAAAAAUAAAAUACUCUAAUCUAUAUAAAAUAAAGUAAAUUUUCUUCCCUAUAUUUACUUAUUUUACUUUUCAUAAAAAUCAUUAAAAUAUAAAAAAAUGUUAGCUUCUUAUUUAAUAAUAUUCUUAUUGGCAACAUUACCUUAUCUUUCUAGUGGGGAAGCCGAUCCUUGGCUAAAUUUUCAUCAUGAGGACGGAUACAACAGAAAUCCUGGAUUAUUUGACUAUUUUUGUGCCAAUAGAUGCCCAAAUUCUCAAAAUCCACGUUGUGCUGAUUGCCCUCCUAAUUCAAAGAAAUAAUUAAGAGAAUCCAUGAUCAUAUAAACAAUAUCUACCCCCCCCCCCAACCACUCUCCUAUUUCUGAUACUAUUAUCAAAAUUUGUCAACUUGUAUUUUUAUAACAUGCCUUUAUCAAUCAAUUUAUGGGCUACUUAAGCUUUCUAUCUAAAUCCAAAAUUCUUGGAAUUUAUUAACAAAUAAUAUUAUAAUAAAUAACUUGCACAUUUUUACAUUUUUAAAUGUUACUCGUUUUUUACGAUAUUAUUUUAUGUUAAGAUUAAUAAUU